AAUGGAUUCGUAAUAUUUAACCCGAUAAUGAUUUAAUCUGGCAUUCCGAACGUAUCAGGAGUGAAGAGAGGAAAACAGUAAAUCAAAUAUACAAAAAUUAUUACUAGAUAAUUUGAAAUGUUUAUUUUAGAUGGUCAGAAUGGGUUGAAUAUGGAACGACCACGCGGCUAUUGUAAUUUUGAAAUAAUAAAUUGGAUUGUAUAAUAGUCCGGACCAAUAACAUAGUCUGGAUUAUAUGGAUCAUCACAUUUUAGUCAACCCGAACCAGGAAUCCGGUGUUUGUAUUGAUUCAGAUUAAGUGUUCAGCACUAAUGCGAAUCGAGUAUAAAAAAACGUAAAGUCGGUUUAAAAUCUAAAGAAUGAUUUUUAAAUUAGAUUUUGCAUCUGUAAUCUGUAUAAGUGAAUGGGAUACAAAAACAAAAC
This is a non-coding RNA of Cinara cedri, 423 nucleotides long. Lineage: Eukaryota; Metazoa; Arthropoda; Insecta; Hemiptera; Aphididae. The record is from the annotation of a GenBank genome assembly.